This 520-nucleotide ribosomal RNA is filed under the name uncultured Diversispora. Its description in RNAcentral is "SSU rRNA". It matches the Rfam family "Eukaryotic small subunit ribosomal RNA", at positions 569 to 1088 of the family's 1831-position model. Lineage: Eukaryota; Fungi; Glomeromycota; Glomeromycetes; Diversisporales; Diversisporaceae. The record is from RNAcentral.
AGCAGCCGCGGUAAUUCCAGCUCCAAUAGCGUAUAUUAAAGUUGUUGCAGUUAAAAAGCUCGUAGUUGAACUUCGGGGUUUACCCAUUGGUCAGGCUUAAUUGUCUGUACUGGUGAGAUGAAUCUCUACCUUCUGAGGAACUUUCAUGCCAUUUAUUUGGUGUGAUGGGAAAUCAGGACUGUUACUUUGAAAAAAUUAGAGUGUUUAAAGCAGGCUAACGUCUGAAUACAUUAGCAUGGAAUAAUGAAAUAGGACGGACUGAUUCUAUUUCGUUGGUUUCUAGGAUCACCGUAAUGAUUAAUAGGGAUAGCUGGGGGCAUUAGUAUUCAAUUGUCAGAGGUGAAAUUCUUGGAUUUAUUGAAGACUAACUACUGCGAAAGCAUUUGCCAAGGAUGUUUUCAUUAAUCAAGAACGAAAGUUAGGGGAUCGAAGACGAUCAGAUACCGUCGUAGUCUUAACCAUAAACUAUGCCGACUAGGGAUCGGACGAAGUUAAUUUUAUAAUGACGCGUUCGGCACCU